This 446-nucleotide ribosomal RNA is filed under the name uncultured bacterium. RNAcentral's name for it is "partial 16S ribosomal RNA". It matches the Rfam family "Bacterial small subunit ribosomal RNA", at positions 29 to 523 of the family's 1533-position model. The record is from RNAcentral.
AGCGAACGCUGGCGGCAGGCUUAACACAUGCAAGUCGAACGCCCCGCAAGGGGAGUGGCAGACGGGUGAGUAACACGUGGGAACGUACCCUUUGGUUCGGAAUAACUUGGGGAAACUCAAGCUAAUACCGGAUAAGCCCUUAUGGGGAAAGGUUUACUGCCGAAGGAUCGACCCGCGUCUGAUUAGCUAGUUGGUGAGGUAAUGGCUCACCAAGGCGACGAUCAGUAGCUGGUCUGAGAGGAUGAUCAGCCACACUGGGACUGAGACACGGCCCAGACUCCUACGGGAGGCAGCAGUGGGGAAUAUUGGACAAUGGGGGCAACCCUGAUCCAGCCAUGCCGCGUGAGUGAUGAAGGCCUUAGGGUUGUAAAGCUCUUUUACCCGGGACGAUAAUGACUGUACCGGGAGAAUAAGCCCCGGCUAACUUCGUGCCAGCCGCGCGGUAA